This is a long non-coding RNA of Poecilia latipinna (sailfin molly), 598 nucleotides long. RefSeq lists it as uncharacterized. The transcript has 2 exons. NCBI's taxonomy places the organism in Eukaryota, Metazoa, Chordata, Actinopteri, Cyprinodontiformes, Poeciliidae. The record is from RefSeq and is a predicted model, not a curated record.
ACGCGACCGUACGUGCUACGAGCAUUCUGUUUACGUCCCCGAAGAAACCCGCAUGCGCAGAAGAAAGACGCUGACGUCACACCUUCACGCUCUGUUUACAUAUUGAUGGUUUUGAAUGAUUCUGAACUGAUCCGGUUCAUCUGAGACCCAGAAUGGAUCCAAUCCCACAACGGGACCCAGAACUGAAGAGAGAAACAGUUAACAGAACUGGAGCGUCGAUUCUCUGGAUGACUGGAGCCAAACAAACCCUGAAAGUCUGCAACAAAAGGCCGCAAUCCUCCUCCACCAUCCCGGUCAUUCACUGGUUCCCAGUUAGACGGGGCGGCGGGACGGGGGCGGAGUCACGUGGUCCGGAGGCUUGUUUACCGCAACAAGGGGCGACCGAGAGAGAGAGGCAGCUUUUCCCACCGACUCAUUCAGAACCACUUUCACACGCCGUGCUGCCGACAACCGUCGCCAUGGAGACGAAGGGAUGACCAAGAGCAGCAGGAGAGAGAGUUCAUUACAUUUAUACCCAUGUGACCUGAAACAGGAGGAUGAGUAAAAAAAAGUUCAUAAAUCAUUCAUUUAAACUCAAUAAACAUUCAUUUCAAUUGCA